Molecule: ribosomal RNA, 1010 nt
Filed under: Cenococcum geophilum
Lineage: Eukaryota; Fungi; Ascomycota; Dothideomycetes; Gloniales; Gloniaceae
Description: SSU rRNA
Rfam family: Eukaryotic small subunit ribosomal RNA
Source: RNAcentral
GCGAAUGGCUCAUUAAAUCAGUUAUCGUUUAUUUGAUAGUACCUUACUACUUGGAUAACCGUGGUAAUUCUAGAGCUAAUACAUGCUGAAAACCCCGACUUCGGGAGGGGUGUAUUUAUUAGAUAAAAAACCAACGCCCUUCGGGGCUUCUUGGUGAUUCAUGAUAACUUAACGAAUCGCAUGGCCUUGCGCCGGCGAUGGUUCAUUCAAAUUUCUGCCCUAUCAACUUUCGAUGGUAGGAUAGUGGCCUACCAUGGUAUCAACGGGUAACGGGGAAUUAGGGUUCUAUUCCGGAGAGGGAGCCUGAGAAACGGCUACCACAUCCAAGGAAGGCAGCAGGCGCGCAAAUUACCCAAUCCCGACACGGGGAGGUAGUGACAAUAAAUACUGAUACAGGGCUCUUUUGGGUCUUGUAAUUGGAAUGAGUACAAUUUAAAUCCCUUAACGAGGAACAAUUGGAGGGCAAGUCUGGUGCCAGCAGCCGCGGUAAUUCCAGCUCCAAUAGCGUAUAUUAAAGUUGUUGCAGUUAAAAAGCUCGUAGUUGAACCUUGGGCCUGGCUGGCCGGUCCGCCUCACCGCGUGCACUGGUCCGGCCGGGCCUUUCCUUCUGGGGAGCCGCAUGCCCUUCACUGGGUGUGUCGGGGAACCAGGACUUUUACUUUGAAAAAAUUAGAGUGUUCAAAGCAGGCCUUUGCUCGGAUACAUUAGCAUGGAAUAAUAGAAUAGGACGUGCGGUUCUAUUUUGUUGGUUUCUAGGACCGCCGUAAUGAUUAAUAGGGAUAGUCGGGGGCAUCAGUAUUCAAUUGUCAGAGGUGAAAUUCUUGGAUUUAUUGAAGACUAACUACUGCGAAAGCAUUUGCCAAGGAUGUUUUCAUUAAUCAGUGAACGAAAGUUAGGGGAUCGAAGACGAUCAGAUACCGUCGUAGUCUUAACCGUAAACUAUGCCGACUAGGGAUCGGGCGAUGUUAUCAUUUUGACUCGCUCGGCACCUUACGAGAAAUCAAAGUCUU